AAACAGAUUGAUGGAAUGCAUUACAUGAAUAAACUUCAUCUAGAGCUACCUAGUGAUCUUCAAGAAAUUAGGUGCUGACUUGGGAGCAUUUUUACUUUAAUUGACUCGUGGCAUCGAAGUCUUAACGCAGCCUCAAUGCGGAAGCAGAAGUAAUCCUGGAAAGCAUAAGGUUUCCAUUGUCUUCGCUCUUAUAUUCCUUCAAUCGUGGGCCCAUGAGGAUUUUGCAUAUUGCUUCAAUCAUGGGUCCAUGACAAUUUUGCACGAUCCCCAUGUCUCCGUCAUUAAUUCCACACCAUAGUAGACUAAAUGGUCCACAAGGCCGUUAUGAGUUACCAAUAUGUAGAAACACACUUUGAUAUGUCGUCCGUAAAUAUCUCCGGUAAUAAAGGACUGGCAUUCCCUGGAAAAAGCUGUUCUGUCACAUGACUUAUUGCACGUAGCAUGACAAAUCCGCAAAAUAAUUGCUUGUGACAGGUAGCUAUGACUGAGACUACCUCCUUACCUGCUGCACAUUGGAUCUUCUCUAGAGCCAUCACAACCUUUCUCGACC
RNAcentral lists this long non-coding RNA (550 nucleotides) under Eucalyptus grandis. RNAcentral describes it as "long non-coding RNA (EGRA_LNC005156)". Lineage: Eukaryota; Viridiplantae; Streptophyta; Magnoliopsida; Myrtales; Myrtaceae. The record is from RNAcentral.